RNAcentral lists this ribosomal RNA (253 nucleotides) under uncultured bacterium. RNAcentral's name for it is "partial 16S ribosomal RNA". It matches the Rfam family "Bacterial small subunit ribosomal RNA", at positions 524 to 776 of the family's 1533-position model. The record is from RNAcentral.
UACGGAGGGUGCAAGCGUUAUCCGGAUUUAUUGGGUUUAAAGGGUCCGUAGGCGGAUCCGUAAGUCAGUGGUGAAAUCUCACAGCUUAACUGUGAAACUGCCAUUGAUACUGCAGGUCUUGAGUGUUAUUGAAGUAGCUGGAAUAAGUAGUGUAGCGGUGAAAUGCAUAGAUAUUACUUAGAACACCAAUUGCGAAGGCAGGUUACUAAGCAACAACUGACGCUGAUGGACGAAAGCGUGGGGAGCGAACAGG